RNAcentral lists this long non-coding RNA (2081 nucleotides) under Daucus carota (carrot). RNAcentral's name for it is "long non-coding RNA (DCAR_LNC003711)". The record is from RNAcentral. Lineage: Eukaryota; Viridiplantae; Streptophyta; Magnoliopsida; Apiales; Apiaceae.
GUUAACAGCUGACCGCCUAAAAGCAUUCCGCGUGAUUUGUGCGUUGCCAUCAAGCAACUCUUGCCGACCUUAAUUGCCUAUAUAUACCACACGCAACCCGCACUUUCCUUUAUCUUCGCAAUUUAGAUUGCUCUCUCCCUCCUCACCAAUCUCUCUCUCUCUCCAAUUCAGAUUGCUCUCUUCUCUCCUCACAAAUCUCUCUAUCCUGUUUAGAAAUUGAUAAGGAUGACGAUACAUGGCAGGUACGUUAAUUAUCGAAUCUCUCUUCCUCGCUUCCCUCUCUCGAUCUCCGCAAGGAGGUUAAUUAUAUAAUCGUUUCCGAUUAAUAUUUUUGAUGGAUCCCGGCGAAGAUCUAGAAAUUCUAAUUAGAUGUUGUAUCAUGUUAAUGAUUACUAAAUUCAAUAUGAUGAUGAUGAGAGCACUUGUUCUGCGAGAACUAGAUGUAAUUCAUGCCUCCUCAAAGAUCAUUAUGGUAAAACCUAUUUUAAGCCUUCUUAAUUGUGCCUGAUGUCAAGUUUCUGCUAGUUUUGGGUUGAUGCUUUUCUAUCGGUAUUGUUUUGGUCUUGUUGUCAAUGAAGAUUCCAGAUCUCUCUGAGUUAUUUUGUUGAUGAGGCACUACUGAUGAGGACUUGUGCGGUAAUGUUUUGAUGAUUUAGAUCACUGUCUGUUUUAGAUCAUUACCUGUGUAUCUGGUAUUGGUUUUGUUGAUGAAGAUUCUAGGUUUCUAUCUAAUGAUCUUGUCCGGAAAGUGACUUACAUAUGAAGAGGCGGAAGUGACUUAUGCGGUAACAUCAUAACCUGUGACCUGUGUAUCUGCUAGUUUUUGGUUGAUGCUUUACUAUGGGUAUUGGUUUUGUUGAUGAAGAUUCAGGUGUUUCUUCCAUGUUAAAAUUACGAGCUUGUGUAUCUGCUAGUUUUUGGUUGAUGCUUCACUCUGGGUAUUUUUCUUCUUGAUGGAGAUUCUAGGUUUCUCUUCCAUGUUAAAAUUAUGAGAAGUGAAUAAUGAGGAGGAUUUGAGCGUAACUGCUCAUUUUGUUUUGAGUAGUUAUUUGUUGAUAUUGUUGUAGCAAUGGUGUGUUGUGUGUUGGCUGGUUUAUUCACGAAAGUUUUAGAACAGAUCAUUCUAAGAGAAAGAGAUGAGACAAGUGGAUGAGCACAGUGGUACCAUGCCUAUUCUCAAUGCAAUAUUAUAAAUUAAAGCUGGUUAGACUUUGUAGGUCGAGUAGUGAUGGACGUUUAUGGGGGUUAUGUCGGGCUAUUAACAUUUAUUCUUCUGUGUUGUUCAAUGUUCCAGUUCUGUGAAGGUUUUGGGAAGUGAUAAGCUAUAAAGGAUUUCGAUAGUUAGGUAUGUACAUGCGAUGGGCAGACUAUUGAGGACUGUCUUUGGUUUGAUCUCAUUCUUCAUUGUUUGGAGGAAAUGUAUAAACAUUGACUAGAAGCUGUAUUAUUUUACAUGUGUAGCAUUGUUGUACAUGAUAAUGUGUGUUUUAUGCAAGAUGUUCUACAUUAUUGAAGUGUUAAUAAAUUUGAAGACAAAAGUUGUGACUCUUUCAACAUGUGAUCCGAUUCUUAACUAUCGUUGUUGUUUGAACCUUUCUUACGAUAUUGUUUAUCUGACGCCCCUUCUAUUGAUAGAGUAAUGUUUUGUGUCUCUUAUACCUUGUUUGUUGUACAGAAAUAUAACUUUGUUUCAGAGUUAUGGACCACACGAGAUUCAACAAAAGAUAACUGUUUCAUCACCCAGCUAUUUUUCUCUUAUAUUCUUGCAGUGCCCCUAUACUUACUAUUUUUUCCCCCCUUCCGUAUACAGUUCAUUUAUGUUUACAUGGCCUGUCAUUUCUCUAACGAAGAUUUGAAUAUGCUUUUGUCGCUAAUGAUUUCAGAAUUACCGGAGCUUGAAACCAUUGAGGCUGCUAAAGUUCAACUAACUUUAUGGUGAUUUCAAUGGUGAUGCUUAACUGAAGUNCCACCCCACGAAAUUGUUUUGAAGUUGAAGACAAAAGUUGUGACUCUUUCAACAUGUGAUCUUAAUCUAAACUAUUGUUGUCGUUUGAACCUUUCUCACGAUAUUGUUUUAAUCU